AUGAACGCUGGCGGCGUGCCUAAUCCAUGCAAGUCGAGCGAACGGACGAGAAGCUUGCUUUUCUGAUGUUAGCGGCGGACGGGUGAGUAACACGUGGAUAACCUACCUAUAAGACUGGGAUAACUUCGGGAAACCGGAGCUAAUACCGGAUAAUAUUUUGAACCGCAUGGUUCAAAAGUGAAAGACGGUCUUGCUGUCACUUAUAGAUGGAUCCGCGCUGCAUUAGCUAGUUGGUAAGGUAACGGCUUACCAAGGCAACGAUGCAUAGCCGACCUGAGAGGGUGAUCGGCCACACUGGAACUGAGACACGGUCCAGACUCCUACGGGAGGCAGCAGUAGGGAAUCUUCCGCAAUGGGCGAAAGCCUGACGGAGCAACGCCGCGUGAGUGAUGAAGGUCUUCGGAUCGUAAAACUCUGUUAUUAGGGAAGAACAUGUGUGUAAGUAACUGUGCACAUCUUGACGGUACCUAAUCAGAAAGCCACGGCUAACUACGUG
This 496-nucleotide ribosomal RNA is filed under the name uncultured bacterium. RNAcentral's name for it is "partial 16S ribosomal RNA". It matches the Rfam family "Bacterial small subunit ribosomal RNA", at positions 29 to 507 of the family's 1533-position model. The record is from RNAcentral.